This 77-nucleotide transfer RNA is filed under the name Roseomonas nitratireducens. Its description in RNAcentral is "tRNA-Arg". It matches the Rfam family "tRNA". Rfam says of the family: Transfer RNA (tRNA) molecules are approximately 80 nucleotides in length. Their secondary structure includes four short double-helical elements and three loops (D, anti-codon, and T loops). The record is from RNAcentral. Lineage: Bacteria; Pseudomonadati; Pseudomonadota; Alphaproteobacteria; Acetobacterales; Roseomonadaceae.
GCGCCCUUAGCUCAGUUGGACAGAGCAACGACCUUCUAAGUCGUGGGUCGGAGGUUCGAAUCCUCCAGGGCGCGCCA